GUGGUAAUGAUUGCCAGCAGAUCAUUUGGCUUAUGCUUGAAAGUUGAGGUCCUGACAGGUCGGAGUUCUUCCAAUGGAUGAAUCAAAAGUCACCAUGAAGGGUCGUCUAGGACCUGGCAUGAUGAUAUCUGUUGACUUAGAGAGUGGACAGGUAUAUGAAAACACAGACGUAAA
Molecule: non-coding RNA, 174 nt
Organism: Camelina sativa (false flax)
Lineage: Eukaryota; Viridiplantae; Streptophyta; Magnoliopsida; Brassicales; Brassicaceae
Source: RefSeq, a predicted model, not a curated record